Cajanus cajan (pigeon pea) is the source of this 759-nucleotide non-coding RNA. The record is from RefSeq and is a predicted model, not a curated record. Lineage: Eukaryota; Viridiplantae; Streptophyta; Magnoliopsida; Fabales; Fabaceae.
UCACCUAUAUAUGUUUAUUGUUCUUUCUUCUUGCCCCAAUUCUAGGUUUGUAUCUCUGUUCACAUUGUUUCAUUCACUUUUCAGUUUCAAUUCAAGAAUACUUAGAGAUGAGUUCUUCUGAGAAUAAGGGAAAGAAGGACAAGCAAAUACUUGUAUAUCAGAGAAGAAACAAAGGAACUGUUUCUGAGAAAAAAACAUUACCCCACCCCACUGAAGACAUUUCUGUACCAUCAGAAGGUUUUGGUAACUAUGAAGGCAAGGUGAAUCGAGAGAUAGGAGAAGAUGGAAGUUAUUAUGAGUGUGAAAUUUGUUUUGAUGGCGGAGACUUGCUCUGCUGUGAUACUUGUCCUCGUGCUUAUCACCUUAAGUGUCUCUCUUUAGAGUCUGUUCCCGAAGGAAAAUGGCAAUGCUCACAAUGUGUGCUUGCUAGUAAUUCAAAACCCAAAGACAAGAAAUUGAAGCGCAUGAAAGUGAAACACAACAAGAAAGUGAAGCAUGAAAAGAAUGAGUAGAUAUCAAAAUAUGCCAUUCUAUAUUAUGAGGUUUGGAAGGCAAAUGUGGCAUCAACGAGAGGUAUAUGGAAUGAUGGUUUAAAUAGGAAAUUAAGGCCAACUUUGUGUUCAAACUCGAUGUUCAUGUUGUAGUUUUAUGUGAUUGAUUUUCAAAUUCUGUUGGAAUCCGGACUUAGGAUAUGUUUGGAUUCUCGUUUGUGCUCCAAACAAUAGUUUGGGGAGUAAACUCAAUUUCAUGACAUGUUUG